GACGAACGCUGGCGGCGUGCUUAACACAUGCAAGUCGAACGGAAAGGCCCUGCUUUUGUGGGGUGCUCGAGUGGCGAACGGGUGAGUAACACGUGAGUAACCUGCCCUUGACUUUGGGAUAACUUCAGGAAACUGGGGCUAAUACCGGAUAGGAGCUCCUGCUGCAUGGUGGGGGUUGGAAAGUUUCGGCGGUUGGGGAUGGACUCGCGGCUUAUCAGCUUGUUGGUGGGGUAGUGGCUUACCAAGGCUUUGACGGGUAGCCGGCCUGAGAGGGUGACCGGCCACAUUGGGACUGAGAUACGGCCCAGACUCCUACGGGAGGCAGCAGUGGGGAAUAUUGCACAAUGGGCGGAAGCCUGAUGCAGCAACGCCGCGGGCGGGAUGACGGCCUUCGGGCUGUAAACCGCUUUCGCCUGUGACGAAGCGUGAGUGACGGUAAUGGGUAAAGAAGCACCGGCUAACUACGUGC
This 469-nucleotide ribosomal RNA is filed under the name uncultured bacterium. RNAcentral's name for it is "partial 16S ribosomal RNA". It matches the Rfam family "Bacterial small subunit ribosomal RNA", at positions 28 to 508 of the family's 1533-position model. The record is from RNAcentral.